This 273-nucleotide long non-coding RNA is filed under the name Elaeis guineensis (African oil palm). RNAcentral describes it as "long non-coding RNA (EGUI_LNC042829)". Lineage: Eukaryota; Viridiplantae; Streptophyta; Magnoliopsida; Arecales; Arecaceae. The record is from RNAcentral.
CGGUGACUCGACUGCUCAUAGUGGGGUUGCUGUAGUUUGACUACAUAUAAAUAUAGUCUCUUAGCUAUUUGAAUCCUUAUAGUGUAUGUUGGCGGUAGUAGGUUCGCUGUAGGAGUAGGAGUACACUUAUAGAGGAUCUAUCAGUCUUAAUAGUUGAGGAGUAGUUCUAUACGAUCUAAGAGGCUGAGUCCAUAAAUCUGUGAUCACAGCAGUGUGAUUAUAAAAAAGAGUUUCUAUGGGAUUUAUGAUUGGACUCGAGCUAAUUAAAUGUAG